RNAcentral lists this long non-coding RNA (1244 nucleotides) under Olea europaea (common olive). RNAcentral's name for it is "long non-coding RNA (OEUR_LNC012843)". Lineage: Eukaryota; Viridiplantae; Streptophyta; Magnoliopsida; Lamiales; Oleaceae. The record is from RNAcentral.
UUUUUUUUUUUUUUUUUAACUAUACAUUCUCCAAAAAAUUACUAUUCCUCUCAUUAUAAUAUGAAAUAAUAGAGGCCAAACGGGACUUAAAUAAACAAUCUCGUCUUGGGCUUGGAAUUAGGUCAAUUCACCCACUAGGCCCAUAUCCAUUUCUCUAUAUAUGUGAAACUAUUUCACAUAGGUAUGUUUCUAACCCUAACCAAAAUUCCCUCUCCUAUCUCUUGCACCCAUUUCUUUUUCGUCCGACCGCUGACAGUUGAUUUGAUCGUCGGAAUGCAAACGAUCAUCGAGCCUUUUUCCCAAUCGACGGUCUUUGCCUCCUAAUGGUGUUCGAGUGCGCAUGUGACGCCUACGUGGAAAGAAGAUAGCCGAGAUUCUGUUGGCUCAUUCUUUGAGGUCAAAGAAAGAUCACAAUGAUCUCUUCUUGACACUUCAUUUGGUGGCAUGGGCAAAUGCAAAUGUAAAACUAAAGGAAAAGAAUAGAACUCUUACUUGGCUGCUGUCUUGAAAUCGGGAUCCCAGAGGCCAGAAUCAUCAAGUGCUAAACCUGCAACUAUUGGCUCUCCAAUGACCCUUUGUCCUGUAUGUAAUAUUAUGAAAAUAAAUAAAUAAACAUCAGAUUAGUAUUAAAUUCAAGGAAUUCAUGCCAGUUCAAUUUGUUGUCUCUUGAUGCUUCAAAAUUCAACGGGCACAGUGUCACAACACUUGAAAGGCUGUCCAAAGCUAAAGAUGAACGAAGAAUGUAAGGAAAGUUCUUGACGUAUACUCUCUUUAGGGGCUUAGUAUAUAGUUAACUUAAACAGAGAACCUAAAGGCACAUCAGAAGAAAAUAAUUUAGUUGAAGACGAUAGAAACUUAACAGGUUUGGAAUAGAGGGAAGUAGCUAGCUUUAAAAAACGAGGGAAUUUUGUAGAAAUUAUGGUAUUGUACAGCAGCUUCUUGAGAAUUCUGAGCAACAAAUAAUUGUAAAAAUUUAAGGGCUUCAAACCUGAUUUUCGAGCUCUAGCUAUUUCUUCAACUGCAUCGAUGCUCAUGACAUGAACAACAUACAGAGGAGUGUUCACGAAACGAGCUAAGUGAAUAGCUCGACCAGUCGCCUCUCCCUCUAUCUGCAUGAAUAUUUGACAGAAUUAAAAGCUUAAUAGACGCAAGAUGUCUAAGAAAACAUUAAUAACUUUCAAAAAGUAGGGCCACAAUUCCAAUCGCAGCUGCUACAGAAAAAUGGAAGGGCAAUCUGGAUUUAA